RNAcentral lists this ribosomal RNA (253 nucleotides) under uncultured bacterium. RNAcentral describes it as "partial 16S ribosomal RNA". It matches the Rfam family "Bacterial small subunit ribosomal RNA", at positions 524 to 776 of the family's 1533-position model. The record is from RNAcentral. RNAcentral also lists the same sequence under 1 other name.
UACGUAGGGGGCGAGCGUUGUCCGGAGUUACUGGGCGUAAAGGGCAUGCAGGCGGUCGGACGCGUUUCGGGUGACAGCGGGUGGCUUAACUACCCGAGUGGUCGAAAGACGGUUUGACUUGAGGACGCGAGAGGGACACGGAAUUCCGGGUGGAGUGGUGAAAUGCGUAGAGAUCCGGAGGAACACCGAAGGCGAAGGCAGUGUCCUGGCGCGUAACUGACGCUGAGGUGCGAAAGCCAGGGGAGCGAACGGG